GACGAACGCUGGCGGCGUGCUUAACACAUGCAAGUCGAACGGAAAGGCCCUGCUUUUGUGGGGUGCUCGAGUGGCGAACGGGUGAGUAACACGUGAGUAACCUGCCCUUGACUUUGGGAUAACUUCAGGAAACUGGGGCUAAUACCGGAUAGGAGCUCCUGUUGCAUGGUGGGGGUUGGAAAGUUUCGGCGGUUGGGGAUGGACUCGCGGCUUAUCAGCUUGUUGGUGGGGUAGUGGCUUACCAAGGCUUUGACGGGUAGCCGGCCUGAGAGGGUGACCGGCCACAUUGGGACUGAGAUACGGCCCAGACUCCUACGGGAGGCAGCAGUGGGGAAUAUUGCACAAUGGGCGGAGGCCUGAUGCAGCAACGCCGCGUGCGGGAUGACGGCCUUCGGGUUGUAAACCGCUUUCGCCUGUGACGAAGCGUGAGUGACGGUAAUGGGUAAAGAAGCACCGGCUAACUACGUG
Molecule: ribosomal RNA, 468 nt
Filed under: uncultured bacterium
Lineage: Bacteria
Description: partial 16S ribosomal RNA
Rfam family: Bacterial small subunit ribosomal RNA
Source: RNAcentral